AUACUUUGUUGGCGGGGAGAUGCCAUGAUCAUGAAGUUGGUCUUCCCAGGGUGAGGCUUAUCCAAUUGAACUCCCGUGUACUAACCCUUCUGGUUUCCCCAAAUGUGGGAAACCCAACUGCAUAGUUUGUGGUUGUGGGGGACAGGGUUCACACUUUCCUCCU
This 163-nucleotide small nuclear RNA is filed under the name Dasypus novemcinctus (nine-banded armadillo). Its description in RNAcentral is "U1 spliceosomal RNA (ENSDNOG00000026298.1)". It matches the Rfam family "U1 spliceosomal RNA". From Rfam's summary of the family: U1 is a small nuclear RNA (snRNA) component of the spliceosome (involved in pre-mRNA splicing). Its 5' end forms complementary base pairs with the 5' splice junction, thus defining the 5' donor site of an intron. Lineage: Eukaryota; Metazoa; Chordata; Mammalia; Cingulata; Dasypodidae. The record is from RNAcentral.